UCCAGAGAACUUUCCAGAGAUGGUUUGGUGCCUUCGGGAACUCUGAGACAGGUGCUGCAUGGCUGUCGUCAGCUCGUGUUGUGAAAUGUUGGGUUAAGUCCCGCAACGAGCGCAACCCUUAUCCUUUGUUGCCAGCGGUUAGGCCGGGAACUCAAAGGAGACUGCCAGUGAUAAACUGGAGGAAGGUGGGGAUGACGUCAAGUCAUCAUGGCCCUUACGAGUAGGGCUACACACGUGCUACAAUGGCGCAUACAAAGAGAAGCGACCUCGCGAGAGCAAGCGGACCUCAUAAAGUGCGUCGUAGUCCGGAUUGGAGUCUGCAACUCGACUCCAUGAAGUCGGAAUCGCUAGUAAUCGUAGAUCAGAAUGCUACGGUGAAUACGUUCCCGGGCCUUGUACACACCGCCCGUCACACCAUGGGAGUGGGUUGCAAAAGAAGUAGGUA
This 445-nucleotide ribosomal RNA is filed under the name Enterobacter sp. Its description in RNAcentral is "bacterial SSU rRNA". It matches the Rfam family "Bacterial small subunit ribosomal RNA", at positions 987 to 1432 of the family's 1533-position model. Lineage: Bacteria; Pseudomonadati; Pseudomonadota; Gammaproteobacteria; Enterobacterales; Enterobacteriaceae. The record is from RNAcentral.